GAGCUGGGGAGGCUUUGCUUUAAGGGGGGGAACCUGUGAGGGGCGAGGGGAGCGUUCCUCACGUUUUGUGACAGAAAGUGGUUUGGAAAACACAUUUUUUUUUCUGUUUUUUUCCUUUUUUUUAACCAUUCGGGUUAAAAAGAGGCAAAUUAAAAGGCGUGUUUUGGUUUGGGGCUAUUUCCCCUCUUUUUCUCUCCUGGCACUUGUGGUUCUGAGGCUCAGCCGCCCCUCAGGCCUGGCGGUGGGACGCGCUUCUCCUCACGGUCUCUCUCUCGUUGCCGCCACAGGGGCGCGAGGCGCUUGCCGCCACAAAUUGUGGUAUUUUUUUAACCAGCCUCAGCCCUCCCUGUUCAAAAACCCAAAUUCUUGUCCAGACCUGCACUUUUAAGUCGGCUCUUGGCUUCCAAAGCUGUGCUGGCAGGGCCUGAGCCGCUCCCCCUCUCCUCCCAGGGGAGCCUGCCCCAGCAGGCCCGGCCGUGGAUGCAGCGGGGCUUGUAGGGUUUGUUUGUUUGUUCAGUCCUAUUAUUCCUGGCACCGCCACAAACCUCUGAAGUAAAAAGGUCUCCUGUGCUGGUGGAAACGCACCGAGUUUGUUUGGUGGUAGAAGGGUGGCUGCAGGGCUGCCUGGCCGUGCUCGCCCACCUUCUUUGUGGAAAAAGGCUCGCGCCCCGCCAGCCCCAGUCAUGUCGUCCUCUCCCCUGGCCCGUUUUGGUUUGAUUUUGGCCCUGUUUGUGUCUUUUGGGUGGAAAACUUGGAAAUCCAGGCCCCUUGAACCUCGGUUGGGGGUCAGGGUUUACAACAUUCAGGGUCGCCCAACGCAGGAUUCUCAGAAACUUGAGGUCCUUCAGAUGGGGGGAUCCCGGUCAGCCCAGUCACCUUCCUUCCCGCUAGUCAAGUCAACUGGUUUUACGACGACAACUAACCAACGGGACUGUGACUCUGGAAAACCCAUCACUGAGUUUGAUCGGGGGUUUGGGAGUGCCUAAAAGCUUGAUUCUCCUCUAACCUAAGGACAAAGGUUUGAUAAAUGUGCUCUAAAGGGCCCUGAGUUGGGAGAGGGGAACAAUUCUCGACCCAGACAUCUCCCUUUCCUGAGAUGGAGAUGUGCAGAGCCAACUAAAAAUAGGACGUGAACAAUUGGGACCCGGGAGGGAAGGCAUGAAGAGCCACACAUGCACACAAGGGCGGCUCUUGAACGAGUCUCGUUAGGACCAGAACGUGAUGUCCUGCGUCUCGGAGCACUUCGUGCCAUCCCAAGUGUUUUCUGUGAUGUAAGAGUUAAAUAAUUGUCCCUCUCCUUGCAGAGCCCUCGGGGAAGGGACGAUUCACCGCUGGGAGAUCCCUGUUUGUGCGUGACACCUGCUGAGGCUGCCUAUUUCACCAUGAUGCAAGCCUGCUGAAGUCAUGGAGAGGGAACUGAAGGCUCCAGCCUGACACACCGGGGCUCCCCGCCUGCUCCUGGCCCAGCACGUGCGAUAGUUUUCACAGGUCCCGGAUGCCUCCAACGUGACUGACAUCUGGAUUCAAUUUCUUCAAAGAAAGAACCUGCGACAUUUUAAUCCCUUCGGCGGCUUGAAGUCUCGGGGAAAACGAAAGCAUCCAUUACAUUCAUAGCGUAUUCGUUUUCAUUGUUGUGCGUGUCCGUUUUGAAAUCCUGCUUACUAGGAACCGAAACCCGACUGAAAACUAACUUUACAGCUAUUCCUAAUAUGCUAUAUACAGCAUAACAUGCUCAAGGACUGGAAUAUGGACGAUCUCCACAGGCAAUCAUCUCCCAUCCAUUUUCACGUACCCGGGGCUGUCAGCCCCCCGCUGCUGUACACAACAUUGUUUACCGUCCAUGAGCUGUGUUUAACAUUCCACUCCCAGAUAUUUAUAUUCGGAGCCAAAUUCAGAGCAGUCUUCUGGAAAAUGAGCAAAAGUAGGCUAUGACCCAUCAAGAGACGAUUGGGUCAUCUGAAAAGUUUAUGAGCCGGUCUGGAAUCCAGCAUUUAUUUUGGAUGGUGGGAGGUCACUAUAAUUAGCUGCCAUUCAACUCCAUCACACAGUUACAAGUGGAAAAAACAACAACCCGCAGCGUAGAUGCAUUUUUACUGAAAUAGAGCCUCCAACAUUUUGCAGAGCUCUGGAGGAAGAGUCACCUCAACCAUCCCCGAGCCGAAAGUUUGUGUGCUCAGGCCAGGAGAGCAAUUUCCAUCUUAUGAAUACGAACGCUACGCCCAAAAACACGGACCGUCCGAGCUCGUGGUGUUAUUACACACAACAUCUGCCCGAACAACAGAGAAAUGGCGUGAGAAGCUCCAGUUGACUUCAGCUCCCAACCUUCUCGCGUGCCAACUGCUGUUUUUCGGUUGCACGGUGCAGCCAGUGCCAGCGAUACUCAUUUUGAUCAAAGCCUGUUUCCAAAUACAAAUUUGUAACUUAUGCACGGGCACGUUCUUGCAUGAAUCAGACCCGCCAAUAAAACUGCCAUAAAAGUCCUCGCGAGCAGUUAUAUCUUUGGGAGGGGGAAGGGAGGAGGGCGGGACUGUUUUGGUUGUUUCUUUAAAGAUUGUGGAUAUAUAUUCCAAAGGCAGACGUUACGGCUGCAUUAUGUCAUCGUGUUCUUUAUGCUGCGUUAUCCCUGCCUCGAGCCAAGCAGCUUCUGUGGACUCUGACCACGGAAAGACACUCGCUGAUGGUUUUGAGUGAUCUGGACCAGCAAGAAUGCAGACACACGGGGAUUCUCUCUCCCCCUUCCUCUUUUCUUCCAAGUCAUUUUCUACCGUAAGAAUAUUCGGGUUUCAUCUGCUUUCCCCGGAAGGAUUGUCGCUGUCAGCUUUAGCGUCACAGUCUCUCUCUGCUGCCAACAUGAGCACAACUCCAGGGCUUGUUUGGGCUGGACUCCUCUCGCAGCCAGGCUGAGUAAUAUUCACAGAGCUGGUCCCUGAAGGUGAGUAAGGCUUGGAGAGGGCACAGCACGGAGGUUCAUAAAAGGGUCUCCACUAAGACUUCGCUUCCUCUGUGGAAUCCCUCUUCCUAAAGCCUUACACAGACAACCCAUAACCAGCAGAAAACAUCAUCCAGACAAGACGUGAUUCUUACAUAUUACUCAGCUUGGCUUCAUUCUGCCUCUGGUAAAGUACACUAUCGCAUCCGUGUAUUCCCUGUCAUGUUCUGAAAACUAUUUAUCCAGUUGCUAGCAAACAUCAAGAUACACACGCCUUCAAAAAACACAGGACUGCUUCCUCCCGUGAAUCAUUUAACGCCUUACAUAACUGCGGAUAACAUGCAAUCAGUCUGUACGCGAUCGAUUAACAAAAAGUAGCUCAUAAACCUACCUGAAAUGCAAAAGUAACUCUCAGUAUUGAAGCAUAAAGAUCUGCUUAAC
Molecule: long non-coding RNA, 3370 nt
Organism: Cygnus olor (mute swan)
Lineage: Eukaryota; Metazoa; Chordata; Aves; Anseriformes; Anatidae
Exons: 2
Source: RefSeq, a predicted model, not a curated record